CUGCUCCUGCACGACCUUCUGCCUUUGACACCGCGUCACCUGGUGGUGUCCCUCCCCCAGGAGCUGCUCUCACUGGUGGCAUCACUUCAGAACCAUGAUGCUGCCUGUGAUCCUAAUCGCACUGAUAAAAGCAAGUGAAUGUGCCCUACUGGACAGCAGUCACUAGGCUAAGGGAUGGCGCUGAAGAGCCAGGUCCCAGGGUCUGCAGCAGCAGGAGACUGGCUCCUGUCCCACCUGUGGCAAGCACCCGGAAGCCACCAAGCAGCAGAAGUAGCAGCCAUCCCAGCUGAGCCUCCGCGCUCUGCCUUGGCAAGAACAUGA
RNAcentral lists this long non-coding RNA (321 nucleotides) under Chinchilla lanigera (long-tailed chinchilla). RNAcentral's name for it is "lncRNA (ENSCLAG00000022990.1)". The record is from RNAcentral. Lineage: Eukaryota; Metazoa; Chordata; Mammalia; Rodentia; Chinchillidae.